AGAUCAUUAUGGGAAUAAUUUCUUAGUAACCCCUUAUAGCGCUCCCAUGCCUCAUAUAAUGAUUCCCCCCGCGUUUUGCUUGAAAUUUGAGAUAGCCAUCUUUAAUUU
Molecule: small nucleolar RNA, 108 nt
Organism: Lactuca sativa (garden lettuce)
Lineage: Eukaryota; Viridiplantae; Streptophyta; Magnoliopsida; Asterales; Asteraceae
Source: RefSeq, a predicted model, not a curated record